GAUGAACGCUGGCGGCGUGCCUAAUACAUGCAAGUCGAGCGAACAGACGAGGAGCUUGCUCCUCUGACGUUAGCGGCGGACGGGUGAGUAACACGUGGAUAACCUACCUAUAAGACUGGGAUAACUUCGGGAAACCGGAGCUAAUACCGGAUAACAUGUUGAACCGCAUGGUUCAACAGUGAAAGACGGUCUUGCUGUCACUUAUAGAUGGAUCCGCGCCGCAUUAGCUAGUUGGUAAGGUAACGGCUUACCAAGGCAACGAUGCGUAGCCGACCUGAGAGGGUGAUCGGCCACACUGGAACUGCGACACGGUCCAGACUCCUACGGGAGGCAGCAGUAGGGAAUCUUCCGCAAUGGGCGAAAGCCUGACGGAGCAACGCCGCGUGAGUGAAGAAGGUCUUCGGAUCGUAAAACUCUGUUAUUAGGGAAGAACAAAUGUGUAAGUAACUAUGCACGUCUUGACGGUACCUAAUCAGAAAGCCACGGCUAACUACGUG
This 497-nucleotide ribosomal RNA is filed under the name uncultured bacterium. Its description in RNAcentral is "partial 16S ribosomal RNA". It matches the Rfam family "Bacterial small subunit ribosomal RNA", at positions 28 to 507 of the family's 1533-position model. The record is from RNAcentral.